CUGCCAUGGGCGAAGCCUGACGCAGCCAUGCCGCGUGAAUGAUGAAGGUCUUAGGCUUGUAAAAUUCUUUCACCGGGGNACGAUAAUGACGGUACCCGGCAGAAGAAGCCCCGGCUAACUUCGUGCCAGCAGCCGCGGUAAUACGAAGGGGGCUAGCGUUGCUCGGAAUUACUGGGCGUAAAGGGAGCGUAGGCGGACAUUUAAGUCAGGGGUGAAAUCCCGGGGCUCAACCUCGGAAUUGCCUUUGAUACUGGGUGUCUUGAGUAUGAGAGAGGUGUGUGGAACUCCGAGUGUAGAGGUGAAAUUCGUAGAUAUUCGGAAGAACACCAGUGGCGAAGGCGACACACUGGCUCAUUACUGACGCUGAGGCUCGAAAGCGUGGGGAGCAAACAGGAUUAGAUACCCUGGUAGUCCACGCCGUAAACGAUGAUUGCUAGUUGUCGGGAUGCAUGCAUUUCGGUGACGCAGCUAACGCAUUAAGCAAUCCGCCUGGGGAGUACGGUCGCAAGAUUAAAACUCAAAGAANUUGACGGGGAA
RNAcentral lists this ribosomal RNA (537 nucleotides) under Brevundimonas sp. SH203. RNAcentral's name for it is "bacterial SSU rRNA". It matches the Rfam family "Bacterial small subunit ribosomal RNA", at positions 366 to 920 of the family's 1533-position model. Lineage: Bacteria; Pseudomonadati; Pseudomonadota; Alphaproteobacteria; Caulobacterales; Caulobacteraceae. The record is from RNAcentral.